Cyanistes caeruleus (blue tit) is the source of this 477-nucleotide long non-coding RNA. RefSeq lists it as uncharacterized. The record is from RefSeq and is a predicted model, not a curated record. Lineage: Eukaryota; Metazoa; Chordata; Aves; Passeriformes; Paridae.
UUGGCAAGGCAGCGAGGCGCCUCUGCCGAAAGCAGGUGCGGUGUCCCGCAGUUGAGCCGGGCCGUGCGAGAGCCGCCGCAGCUCCUCGCACCUAGUGCCACUUGUCGCGUUCCGCUGCUCCUCCUCCGCCUCUGUUCGUCUCGGCCAGGAUGCAUCCGCUCGCCGCAGACCACAGGGAAAACCGCACCUGGGAUCCCGCUUCUCGGCAUCAUGGGAAUGGAAUAACGCGUGUCGAAAGCAAACGUUACUGGAAUUAUUGCACCUUAAAGCAUAGGUUGGCUUAGGUGACUGCUUGGCGGUAUAUAGAAGGAGAGAAAAUAGGGAGCCUGCAGUUUGCACACAUUUCCAAAAACCUGGAGUGGCACAAGGGAACUGGACCAAAGACUAGCACCAAGAUAAAAUUUCCAUUCUUUCUGACUCUAUCCAGGUUAGAUGUCUUGACCUCUUAAGAAUUAAAUUGUUAAUUUGUAUAAUGUA